CUUUUUGUAAUCUUUUAAAAAAUCUUCUCCUCUGAAAUUACAGUGUCAAAUUUAAAGGGAAAUUCCGCGAUUUUUUACUUAUCAUCUAAUUAUGUUCAUCUUAACAUAAAAAACACAUUUGCAAAGUUUUAAAUUUAUAUUCCUUCUAAUAACAGAGAAAAUCAAGUAUUUGUAACUUUUUUGGUUGAAUUCUCGAGUGGGUCGUGACGUAUUAGCCCGAUUUAUUGAAUUCUGGGAAAAAAUAAAAUCUGUUUAACUCUUAUAUCUUAUCGACAAUAUACGUAAUUAAAAGCGCACAGCUGACGAAUGGUCGUAGUCAUUAACCACAAUAUAAGAAUGAACGAAAAUGAAUAUGCAUAUACCGUUUUGUAUUGAUGAAUUAAACUCCUAUUAAAUUAUCUCUAGUAAAUGUUUUCGAAUAAAUUUCAUUAAUUAUUGUUGAGAUUUUUUUCAUAAAAUAUUUAUUGAACAUUUUUACUGAUAUUAAACUGAAAAUAUUUCAGUUCUAUUUACCGUUAUUGUUUUGAUAAUCAUUUCAAUGCAACUAAAGUGUGAGCAGAGUGUGUAUAUUAUUUUGUAAAGGUCACUGUAUAUUUCUCGGCUUGAGGUCAAUUUGUUUACCUUGUAGCUAUUUAGCCGCAGGUGUGAGUUCAAGCGAACACAGGUAUAAAUGUUGUUAUUUGGAAAGGAUAAACAGAAAGGAUUAGAUUUAUAGUAUGCUGUCACGAUUUUAAUACACUAAGAUUUAAUACACGAUGAGAAUAAAGAUACAAUAAUUAAAUUGUGUAAAUUAAUUGAAAAUAAAAUUCAGAUUCGUAAUUCGAAAGUGUAUAAAAAUAAAAUGAAACAAUUUUUGAUUACUUUCUUAGCGGCAAUUGGCGUAAAUAAAGUAAAAAAUAGUAGUUUUAAUUUUUAAUGCAAUAUUACCCAAUUUGCUAUACCAUUGCAAAUCUGUUUGAUAUCAUUGACUUUACCGGAUUUUUUUUAACUUGUAUUCAAAUCUGGCUGUGUUUAAAUGCUAAUAAAACUAAAGCAAUUUUAAAGUUUUUAAUUGAAAAAAAAAAUACUUCAUACAAAAUGCAUGAUUUUUUUUUCUUUUUAACAUUUUAUUCUUACAUAAUUAAAUUCAUUUGACAAUCAUUUACACGAACUUUUUAUGAAAAGAAUACCAAUUAUCUCAACUAAGGCAUUAUUUUUUUUGAGGAUUUUUUUUUUUAAAAUUCUAUGAUAAUAUUUGUGCAAUGUUGAACAUGAUAGCCGUCAUUAAUCCAAAUAAGUAAUACAGUAGUUGUAAUAAAACUUAUAUCUUAGUCAUGCAUAACUGAUAUUGACGAAUUUAGAAUAGUUCGUCCAUACAUCGUUGUUCUUGAAACAAUCAUUAUUAGUAUACAUACAUGUAAGUUUCCUGACGUAUAAGCGCCUUUGAGGAUGAGCUCCAGAGAAAGCAGACUAGUAGCGUUUCGUUCGUUUGUUUGUUGGGAAAGGAGAGGAAAUGCAACCACUUGUACAGAUAAACGACAGAAUUACCAUAAAAGCAUUUAUAGUCAAUACAAAUCAGAAAGAGUUCCCAUCGUUGGACAGGGAAUAUGAAGGCUUCCAAAAAUGAACAAGUGACAUGUCUGAACAGUUAGAAAACGGACCAUCGACAUCGACCGCUUGUUCUUGAUAUUUGAAACUGCAUGCAUAUAUACGUAUACGUGUAUGAUUGAAUGAUGAGUUCUUCGACUGAAAAAACUAAAUUCCUUCAUGAGUAUAUCUUGCCACAUUUUAUAUUGGAUUGUAAGGUGAUUACUCAAAAUGUAAUUGAAAAUCUUGUUUGUGAGAUGUAGAUUCAUUUCAAUACAGAAAUUUUCGUCUAUAAUUAAGUUCCACAAGUGUAUAACACGGAGAAGCUCUGAGGGUCCAUUACUCCCAUUUUGUUUGGGUGUGAACCAUCGAUGUUUACAGCAAUAUCAAAGAAUAAGAUGAUGAUGGUAGAAAGAACUAUGGGCGUUCCUUGGCAAAUAUUACAUGCAUAUCGGACCAUGAGUUGUCAAUCUGUAUCAAAAGAUUUCCAAUACAACCAUAUUAUUGAGAAGCAAGGUUUACAUGCUAUAUGCUAUACUCUCGUACUAGUAUUACAGGGUUCUUGUCUUGUGGCGUUCACCUUAGACCACACAUCUUUUUAACGAUGUUAAAAAAACGACAGAACAAUUAAUGUCAUAUUUCCAUAUUUUUUUUAAAUGUAACUGAAAGUCUUUUAUCUGACAAGAAACCCCUAUUUAGCGGACAAGUAAUUUAUUCUUUUUUCUGUUAUUGAAUACCAAGAAAAAUAAAUCCCGAAAUUAAUUUGAAACUUUGAACUCAAAAGUUUCCAGCAAAAUAUUCACAUCCCUUGGGAUAAUGUUCGUCCAGUGGCAUAUAUUACAAUUGUGAUGACGAAUUCCUUCCUUUGUUCGAGAACAAUCUUAUGAAUAUAAAUCUGUGAUUUUACUAUUUCCCGUGACAACAUCAAUGAACCAAAGCAAAAGUUAUACAUCGACCUGUAUUUAAAUCAAAUUGGUUCUCUUCUUCUUCUGGUAUACAAUAGUCUAUCGACAUUCAAUGAUUAUCUGUUGGCAUACGUGGACUAGUCUAUUUACAAAACUUUUACCCAAUUUAUUCAAAAUAUAUUUUUUUCUUUAUGUUAAUGUAUACAUGUAUAUAUUUUAAAUUGCGCUUUAGUUCCAUAACUUUCACCCAGUCGUAUAAACGAAUCAUCGCAAUGCGUACAUUUUUAAAUCAAUAUUUCUGUCCAAUCUGUCCUUCACCAUUGACAAUGAGUAUAUAUUACAUUUUCCCAAAUUCACCCUUGGAAAAAAUAUUUAAAUAGAUUUUAAUUCCAUCAAAUCUUAUUUUUUUGGUAUUAUUUUUAUUUUUUAUGAGAAAUUUCUUUACCAGAAAUGUUAUUUAUAAACAAAUGAGUUUAGUAAUGACAGUAAGACAGAGUUGUAUAUUAUACAUCUGAUAGUUCAAAAUGGCAUGCAGAAUGAACGAUGCUGAACUUGCAAGCCCGACAGGAAUCGCUUGAAUACCUGGACGUGUCACCUCACAACCCUCCCAAUACCUGAAAGUAAACCUGUAGCCAUGCUGGUGAUCAGAUGAGGAAGAUUAAAAGUUAUUUGAAAAAAGUUUAUUACUUAAAGAAUUAUGAACAAAUUAGAUUUUCGAAAACAAUUUUCACCACUUAUUUAUGAUUUCACUUUGACUUUUUACCUAAUUCCAAUAUCAAAGUUUAAAACAAAAGACCGUGGUAAUUUAAAAAAAAAUAAGAAUUUUCCGUAUCAGUUAGUAAGUCGGAUAAAACAACCGUACGUUGCCAAGUAUCGACAUGCAAUUAGACACAUCGGUUACAGUUUUGUUCCUUUUGGGUUUAUAAAUAUCGAUUUUAUUAACGGAACGAAGACAAAAUGGCUGAACGGAUGGAAAUGAUUCUCUAAAUUUAAAAUCGAUGGUGAUCGCUUAUAUAGCGGAAAAAAUAAUAUCUAUGAAUUUGAGCAUUUUUCGAAUGAACAUAAUAUCAAUUUUUGAUUUUUUUGCGAAGUUUCCCUUUAACCAAACUUAGCCACAAUCGUUAUUAGGGUAUCUAGUUUAAAAAAUGUGCGCAUUGACCCAGCCAACCAAUCAAGAGAAAUAUAUAAUAGAACACAGGGGUAAAACGUAGAUUUUGGCUUAUAACUCUGAAACCAAAGCAUUUAGAGCAAAUCUAACAAGGGUUAAUUUGUUUAUAAAGUUAGUAUCUCUCUGCCCUGAAAUCUUCAGAUAAAUCGGACAACUGGUUGUUGGGUUGCUGCCCCCCAAUUUAUAAUAUUUAAAGAAAUUUUGCGGUUUUUGGUUAUUAUCUUCAAUACUGUUAAAGAUAGAGAUAAACUGUAAACAGCAAUAAUGUUCAGCAAAGUAAGAUCUAAUAAUAAGUCAACAUGACCACAAUUGUCAGUCGACCCCUUAAGGAGUUAUUGCCCUUGAUAGUCAAUUUUAAACAAUUUUCAUUAAUUUGGUAAAUUUUUGUAAAUUUUUACAAAAUAUUUUCCUCUGUAUCUAAAGGGCCAAGUCUAUAUAGAUAGAGAAUUGUAAGAAGCAAGAAUGUUCAGUAAAGUCAGAUCUACAAACACAUCACAUCACCAAAAACCAUGAAUCCAUCUGUGUCCUUUGUUUAAUAUACACAUAGACCAAGGUAAGCAACAUAGGCUCUAAAGAGCCUCUAGUUUUAAAUAACUGAAGACAAAUUUGCUUUGAAAUCUAUAAGUUGUCAAAAUUACUGUUUCAUAUUUUCUAUUUAGAUGACAAC
RNAcentral lists this long non-coding RNA (4306 nucleotides) under Mytilus galloprovincialis (Mediterranean mussel). The record is from RNAcentral. Lineage: Eukaryota; Metazoa; Mollusca; Bivalvia; Mytilida; Mytilidae.